Non-coding RNA from Nelumbo nucifera (sacred lotus), 107 nucleotides. The record is from Rfam. Lineage: Eukaryota; Viridiplantae; Streptophyta; Magnoliopsida; Proteales; Nelumbonaceae.
AGACCACGUUGAGGACACUUCCUAAGCAGUUCCUUAAAUCUCUCCCACAACUCAUAUAAUGUUUCAUUAUCAAAUUAAGAAAAAGUUGUUACGUCAUUCCUUAAUUU